UUUUCGGAAGGUAUGCUUAAAGAGGGGCUUGCGUCACAUUAGUUAGUUGGCAGGGUAAAAGCCUACCAAGACUAUGAUGUGUAGCUGGACUGAGAGGUUGAACAGCCACAUUGGGACUGAGACACGGCCCAAACUCCUACGGGAGGCAGCAGUAGGGAAUUUUCGGCAAUGGAGGAAACUCUGACCGAGCAACGCCGCGUGAACGAUGAAGUAUUUCGGUAUGUAAAGUUCUUUUAUUGAAGAAGAAAAAAUAGUGGAAAAACUAUCUUGACGAUAUUCAAUGAAUAAGCCCCGGCAAACUAUGUGCCAGCAGCCGCGGUAAUACAUAGGGGGCGAGCGUUAUCCGGAAUUAUUGGGCGUAAAGGGUGCGUAGGCGGUUUAAUAAGUCUAUAGUUUAAUUUCAGUGCUUAACACUGUCCUGCUAUAGAAACUAUUAGACUAGAGUGAGAUAGAGGCAAGUGGAAUUCCAUGUGUAGCGGUAAAAUGCGUAAAUAUAUGGAGGAACACCAGAGGCGUAGGCGGCUUGCUGGGUCUUUACUGACGCUGAGGCACGAAAGCGUGGGGAGCAAACAGGAUUAGAUACCCUGGUAGUCCACGCCGUAAACGAUGAGUACUAAGUGUCGGGAUUACUCGGUACUGAAGUUAACACAUUAAGUACUCCGCCUGAGUAGUACGUACGCAAGUAUGAAACUUAAAGGAAUUGACGGGACUCCGCACAAGCGGUGGAUCAUGUUGUUUAAUUCGAAGAUACACGAAAAACCUUACCAGGUCUUGACAUACUCUGCAAAGCUAUAGCAAUAUAGUGGAGGUUAUCAGGGAUACAGGUGGUGCAUGGUUGUCGUCAGCUCGUGUCGUGAGAUGUUAGGUUAAGUCCUAAAACGAGCGCAACCCUUGUCAUUAGUUGCCAGCAUGUCAUGAUGGGCACUUUAAUGAGACUGCCAAUGAAAAAUUGGAGGAAGGUGAGGAUCACGUCAAAUCAUCAUGCCCCUUAUGAUCUGGGCUACAAACGUGAUACAAUGGCUGUUACAAAGAGUAGCUGAAACGUAAGUUUAUAGCCAAUCUCAUAAAAGCAGUCUCAGUUCGGAUUGAAGUCUGCAACUCGACUUCAUGAAGUUGGAAUCGCUAGU
Molecule: ribosomal RNA, 1127 nt
Filed under: Sugarcane whiteleaf phytoplasma
Lineage: Bacteria; Bacillati; Mycoplasmatota; Mollicutes; Acholeplasmatales; Acholeplasmataceae
Description: bacterial SSU rRNA
Rfam family: Bacterial small subunit ribosomal RNA
Source: RNAcentral